RNAcentral lists this long non-coding RNA (215 nucleotides) under Gossypium raimondii (Peruvian cotton). Its description in RNAcentral is "long non-coding RNA (GRAI_LNC000459)". The record is from RNAcentral. Lineage: Eukaryota; Viridiplantae; Streptophyta; Magnoliopsida; Malvales; Malvaceae.
AAUGAUCGCAGACAAACGUGAAGCGACACGAGGCAGAGUAGGAAAAGAAAAAUAAAGAAGAUGAAGGGUGAAAGAGAGCAGAAAUUUGACAGCAAUGAAGAGAAAAAGGGCAAGAGGGUGGAGGGAUUUUGGAGAAAGUAAAAAAAAGGAAAAAAAAAAGAUAAAUAGAAUAUUUGAUAACCACCCUAAUCCCUUAUUUCUCUCCAUCAAACUCC